Non-coding RNA from Thamnophis sirtalis, 785 nucleotides. Lineage: Eukaryota; Metazoa; Chordata; Lepidosauria; Squamata; Natricidae. The record is from RefSeq and is a predicted model, not a curated record.
AUGGGCGGACUUGGGCAAACCCCAGAGGCUUCCAGGAGGACGUUGCGGGAGCUGAUCUGCUCUGGGCAAAGGAGGCCUGGCUUUAGGAAGCCGGGAAAAACGCGUAGUUUCCUCCACCCCCCUGCCCGCAACGGGGCGGGAGAGACUUUCUGAUCCAAUUAGCCCGCUACCGCUCUGGGGGUGAACCGAGGCCCUGCCCAGCAGCCGUGGUGGUGGCUGAGCUGGCCAUCCUGGAAACGGGGCGAGAGAGUCGGUAUCCACCCAGUUUUGGAAGGAAGAAAAAUCUGUGGGCUGAGAGCUGGGACGCCAUGGGAGCAGCAGCGCCUCUGCACAUGUGGAAAGCUCGGAGCUGCCAAUGAGUAAUCGAACCCUUCCAGUCCUACUUCUAGGGUUAGGCAAAAGUGCUUACGCCCCGGCGUCUGUUCCAAGUAUCUCCAACCGCAGAACCCGUCCCCCUCUCAGUAGAUUACAGGAGCCCAGGAUGAGAUACUUUGUUUGUUGAACAAAAUGGGUUCUAGGAAGCAGUCAAAGGAUGAGCAUCUGAAUCCACAUCAAUCAGAAAUAGUGUCAAAAUCAUCUAGAAGAAGGAAGCGAGACUGUGGAGAAUUGGAUAAUGAGUUACAAGCAAAAAAAAUAUUUGUGAGGAAAACCAAACAACUACAAAAAACAGGACAAGCUUGCUUUGGUGGCUCCGUGUUUCGAAAUUCAAGAAUUGCCUUCCAUCCAUGGGGAAUGCAAAAGAAUAUUGUCCACUAUGUUUAUCAAAAUAUGGUGGAUGGCACUAU